GAUGAACGCUGGCGGCGUGCCUAAUACAUGCAAGUCGAGCGAACAGACGAGGAGCUUGCUCCUCUGACGUUAGCGGCGGACGGGUGAGUAACACGUGGAUAACCUACCUAUAAGACUGGGAUAACUUCGGGAAACCGGCGCUAAUACCGGAUAAUAUAUUGAACCGCAUGGUGCAAUGGUGAAAGACGGUUUUGGUGUAACUUAUAGAUGGAUCCGCGCCGCAUUAGCUAGUUGGUAAGGUAACGGCUUACGAAGGCGACUAGGCGUAGCCGAACUGAGAGACUGAUCGGCCACACUGGAACGGAGACACGGUCCAGACUCCUGAGAGAGGCAGCAGUAGCGAAUCUUCCGCAAUGGUCGAGAGCAUGACGGAGCAACGCCGCGUGAGUGAUGAAGGUCUUCGGAUCGUAAAACUCGGUUAUUAGGGAAGAACAAAUGUGUAAGUAACUAUGCACGUCUUGACGGUACCUAAUCAGAAAGCCACGGCUAACUACGUG
RNAcentral lists this ribosomal RNA (497 nucleotides) under uncultured bacterium. RNAcentral describes it as "partial 16S ribosomal RNA". It matches the Rfam family "Bacterial small subunit ribosomal RNA", at positions 28 to 507 of the family's 1533-position model. The record is from RNAcentral.